AGUCGAAGAUGAGCCCGUUAGGGGUGGAUUAGUGGCGAACGGGUGAGUAACACGUGGGCAAUCUGCCCUGCACUCUGGGACAAGCCCUGGAAACGGGGUCUAAUACCGGAUAACACCCUCGCAGGCAUCUGCGAGGGUUAAAAGCUCCGGCGGUGCAGGAUGAGCCCGCGGCCUAUCAGCUUGUUGGUGAGGUAAUGGCUCACCAAGGCGACGACGGGUAGCCGGCCUGAGAGGGCGACCGGCCACACUGGGACUGAGACACGGCCCAGACUCCUACGGGAGGCAGCAGUGGGGAAUAUUGCACAAUGGGCGAAAGCCUGAUGCAGCGACGCCGCGUGAGGGAUGACGGCCUUCGGGUUGUAAACCUCUUUCAGCAGGGAAGAAGCGAAAGUGACGGUACCUGCAAAAGAAGCGCCGGCUAACUACGUGCCAGCAGCCGCGGUAAUACGUAGGGCGCAAGCGUUGUCCGGAAUUAUUGGGCGUAAAGAGCUCGUAGGCGGCUUGUCACGUCGAUUGUGAAAGCCCGAGGCUUAACCUCGGGUCUGCAGUCGAUACGGGCUAGCUAGAGUGUGGUAGGGGAGAUCGGAAUUCCUGGUGUAGCGGUGAAAUGCGCAGAUAUCAGGAGGAA
This 628-nucleotide ribosomal RNA is filed under the name Streptomyces recifensis. Its description in RNAcentral is "bacterial SSU rRNA". It matches the Rfam family "Bacterial small subunit ribosomal RNA", at positions 60 to 706 of the family's 1533-position model. The record is from RNAcentral. Lineage: Bacteria; Bacillati; Actinomycetota; Actinomycetes; Kitasatosporales; Streptomycetaceae.